UGUGGUGGCGAUAGCAAGAAGGAUACACCUGUUUCCCAUGUCGAACACAGAAGUUAAGCCUUCUUAGCGCCGAUAGUAGUUGGUGGGAAACUACCUGCGAGGAUAGGACGUUGCCGCGC
This 119-nucleotide ribosomal RNA is filed under the name Latilactobacillus curvatus. Lineage: Bacteria; Bacillati; Bacillota; Bacilli; Lactobacillales; Lactobacillaceae. The record is from RNAcentral.